UACGGAGGGUGCAAGCGUUGUUCGGAAUCAUUGGGCGUAAAGCGCGUGUAGGCGGUUAAAUAAGUCGAGUGUGAAAGCCCCAGGCUCAACCUGGGAAGUGCAUCCGAUACUCAUUAGCUCGAAGAUGGUAGAGGAAGGUAGAAUUCCUAGUGUAGAGGUGAAAUUCGUAGAUAUUAGGAGGAACACCGGUGGCGAAGGCGGCCUUCUGGACCGGGCUUGACACUGAGAUGCGAAAGCGUGGGGAGCAAACAGG
RNAcentral lists this ribosomal RNA (253 nucleotides) under uncultured bacterium. RNAcentral describes it as "partial 16S ribosomal RNA". It matches the Rfam family "Bacterial small subunit ribosomal RNA", at positions 524 to 776 of the family's 1533-position model. The record is from RNAcentral.